AAAGCUACUGUUGUUAAAGAAGAACACGUAUGAGAGUAACUGUUCAUACGUUGACGGUAUUUAACCAGAAAGUCACGGCUAACUACGUGCCAGCAGCCGCGGUAAUACGUAGGUGGCAAGCGUUAUCCGGAUUUAUUAGGGCGUAAAGAGAGUGCAGGCGGUUUUCUAAGUCUGAUGUGAAAGCCUUCGGCUUAACCGGAGAAGUGCAUCGGAAACUGGAUAACUUGAGUGCAGAAGAGGGUAGUGGAACUCCAUGUGUAGCGGUGGAAUGCGUAGAUAUAUGGAAGAACACCAGUGGCGAAGGCGGCUACCUGGUCUGCAACUGACGCUGAGACUCGAAAGCAUGGGUAGCGAACAGGAUUAGAUACCCUGGUAG
RNAcentral lists this ribosomal RNA (376 nucleotides) under uncultured bacterium. RNAcentral describes it as "bacterial SSU rRNA". It matches the Rfam family "Bacterial small subunit ribosomal RNA", at positions 426 to 793 of the family's 1533-position model. The record is from RNAcentral.